Molecule: long non-coding RNA, 566 nt
Organism: Raphanus sativus (radish)
Lineage: Eukaryota; Viridiplantae; Streptophyta; Magnoliopsida; Brassicales; Brassicaceae
Exons: 3
Source: RefSeq, a predicted model, not a curated record
UUUAUUUCUUUUCUUCUCCUUCGAUCAGAUCGCGUAAGGGCCAAGGGGAGAACAAGUCCUCCGAUCUCCUCCGAUCUCCUCCAAUUCAACCCAUCACCUCAGACGAAGGCUCUUUCUCUCUCUCUCUUCUCUCUCUCUUCUCCGAGACCCAUCGUCUCCUUCGAAGUUCGAAUCGAAGGCUCUUCCUCUCUCUCUUCUCCGAGACUCCGAUCGUCUCCUCCAAGCUCUCUCUCGCUUUGCCGCCUCCCUCGAUCAACUUCUGUGAUUCCUCGUUCUGGGUGGAGAAGUCGAGCUUCAUCACUCAUCAGUCAUCACCAUAGGUUCGUCCUCGAGCUCUCUCUCAGCCAUUAAGCUUCAUCAGUCUUCGUCCUCGACCAAACCCAUCAGCCAUUAAGAAACACAAAUCGAUGAGAAAGGCCGUGAGGUUAAGAGUAAAGGAUUCAUCAACAGUCAUGGCUUUUGUUUUUUUUAUCUUUUUGAUUCAUUUCUGAACUAGUGUUCUUUUUGAAAUGUAUACAUUUAUCUAGAGUCCAUAAAGUUAAAAAAAAUUAUUGAUAAAUAAUUUA